GAAUUGAAUUUCCUGUCCUAAAACACCUCCCUGAGGUUCUUUUUUACUCAAAUGAGAAGUACAAAUCAAGAGGUCAAAUUAGCCAUUUAUUUGUAAAUGAAGAGCAUUUUCUCUGCAGCCUGCCUCAUGGUCUUCGCCGUGUCCUGGCUGCAUGGUCUGAUUCCAACCCGUUUGUUUCUGGCUCUUGCAGGCUUGCAGGGGUGUGUCACCAGUACAAACACUUACAGAUCAUUUAAUGUUCAUACCAGAAGCCAUCUUAACCAAUAUCACUGAUCUCAGGCAACCCAUCCCCCAAUCAUGACUCACUCCUACGUUCCUGAAACUGGCAUUAACACAUAAUUGGAAAUCAAAAAGUAAUUAAAAAACAAGUGAAUAGAAAGCAGGUAAAUAUGAAAAAACAUUAAUUAAAAAAAGUAUUAAGAUGCAUAAAAUGAAAUCCAUUUGAAAAAAUUAAUAAAAUAUAGUGUAUGAAAAGCUUUUGCGAAAAUAUAGGACGUUUUUUGUGAAAAUAAAAUCCUACAACAUACAUCUUUGAACCUGGUCUAGUGGAUCUUGUUGAAAAUGAAAGCAAUUGGCCAAAGUUGUUCCGAAGUUCCUGGGAUUGGACGAAGUCUUUGUAUUGUGUAUUAUAUGUGACAAGUGGAGAAAUUGCAACAGUGGAAAAUCUUGGAGGGAAUGUUUAAAUAUUCAAAAAAUGAAUAUUUCGCAGUUCACUUUUUGCAGUCUCACUGUUUCGUAAAUAUUUUCAGUGCAGGUUUCCACCUGUUAGCUAUUGAUUUGUCAAGGAAUCUCUUUUGUGCAGGGUCUUCUGUAUAGAGAUGCUGCAUGAGCAGCUUGAAAAAGUUACAUAAAUCUUUGAUGGCAAGCAGCUCUUCAUUUUUUUUCUAUAGUAAUUUAUUAGACAUAUAAAUGUGAGGGAAUUUACAGCCUUAAAACAUUUGUAAUCCUACUUUGCAGAUUUUACUUAUAAUGGGGUAUUUAUGGAACAUAUAUCUUGCAAUAAACAAGGGAACACUGUAUUGAUGUUUGGACAUGGCUCAGAAACUUUAUAUAUUCCACAAUUUUACACACCUGACAAAAAAAAAAAAAAAA
Oryzias melastigma (Indian medaka) is the source of this 1092-nucleotide long non-coding RNA. RefSeq lists it as uncharacterized. The record is from RefSeq and is a predicted model, not a curated record. NCBI's taxonomy places the organism in Eukaryota, Metazoa, Chordata, Actinopteri, Beloniformes, Adrianichthyidae. The transcript is spliced from 2 exons.